This 1060-nucleotide long non-coding RNA is filed under the name Mus musculus (house mouse). Its description in RNAcentral is "predicted gene 13373". Lineage: Eukaryota; Metazoa; Chordata; Mammalia; Rodentia; Muridae. The record is from RNAcentral.
AGUGCAGCUUUGUAGUCAGAGAGGCUAGGGGGAUAAAGAUGGGGUGGUUUUCUGAGAGUCACCUGUGCAAGCAAAAUGUCAGUCCCUGGAUUCCUGAUGGCAAAGCCAGUGGGGUGUAGCAGACAAGGCUCAGAGCAGAGCAGGGAAUCUUGGUUUUAGGUCACUCUCCACUGUGACUGGAGGGACCUUGGUUGCUGUGUCCACAAACUGGGCCCUAGGAAUCUUCUGAUGAGGUGUGGGGCUGGGGUAGGGGAGGGACAGGCAGCUGGGAAGAGAGGAGGGUGGAGGCCCUGUGAGGUUCUGUCAAAGGCCUUUCUGUCUGAGUCUACAGGAUCAUGGUGGUGGUUGUCUUCACGCCUGGAUGUGUUCCCUGCGCCACGCCUGCCCUGCAAGCUGGGACCAGUUUUUCCACUCCCUCCCACUAGCAGUGUGGACUUGUAGAGCAAGGGAGGGUGAUCAAGAGGAAGAACGUGAAGUCUGCCCAGCGUUCCCAUGCCUCUCUCCCACUGGUGAGAGUUGAUGGUGACAGCUAGAACUCCCAAGGCCCAGUGAGGGGACCAUUAGCCAAGAGUCACACUGCCCAGUGCAUUCCCAGUCUCCGACUCCUGAGUCCUUGUCUCCUGAACCACUUUUGUGGAAGCCCAAGGCCAGCCUCAUCAAGUGGCAGUUGCUCUGUAGCUUCCUGUUCCCCCAGAAGAUCCACCCCGCCACAGUGACUGCAGAAGCCCUUCAAGAAAGGAACCAGCUGGGCCAACGAUGGAGCUCAUCUCCACCCUCAUGAUAUGAAGAAGUGAUGGCUGUCUACAAUGAGCCAUCAGGGGAUAUUAACCCUCCUCGUCACAGCCCAGAAGCCACAGCCACGGAGUUGAUGCUGCCACUUCAAGGUCUCCAACUAAGAGGGAGAGUCCCAGGAAACUGCUGGUUUUGACUACUUCAGAUUUUAUAGAGUUAAGAAGCCCUAACACCCAGCAUCCUGAAACAUUAGGAAUACAGACUUGUGUUUCAGCUUCCUGUGUUAUACUGAUGGAAACAAACAAACAAAUGCCUUAACAAUCUCUAA